GUACUCGCUUUGGCAGCACAUAUACUGCAGAAAAAUUGGAUUGAUACAGAGAAGAUCAGCAUGGCUCCUGUGCAAGGAUGACAUGCAAAUUCAUGAAGUGUUCCAUAUUUUU
Molecule: small nuclear RNA, 112 nt
Filed under: Dasypus novemcinctus (nine-banded armadillo)
Lineage: Eukaryota; Metazoa; Chordata; Mammalia; Cingulata; Dasypodidae
Source: RNAcentral